UCCCUGGCCACAUCAUAUCCACUCAGUCCCGGCAUGCCGAUGUCCAGCAGGAUGAUUUCCGGCUUGAAAUCAGACGCGGCUUUCAAUGCGGCCUCGCCACUGAACACGGUCACGACUUCAUGGCCCCACGCCGUCAGGAGCGCACUGGUCGUAUUGGCAGCGUCGGUAUUGUCAUCGACGACCAGGAUUCUGCGCUUUACUGUCGAUGGUGUAUCCAUCAGCGCGGGCGGCUUUGCAGCCAACACAGAUUUUGACAACGGAAUGGAGACUACGAACUCACUUCCCUGAUUGAGUCCCGCGCUUGACGCUGUGACCGUGCCUCCGU
RNAcentral lists this unclassified non-coding RNA (325 nucleotides) under uncultured fungus. RNAcentral's name for it is "sequence contains ITS1". The record is from RNAcentral. Lineage: Eukaryota; Fungi.